Molecule: long non-coding RNA, 612 nt
Filed under: Pelobates cultripes (western spadefoot toad)
Lineage: Eukaryota; Metazoa; Chordata; Amphibia; Anura; Pelobatidae
Source: RNAcentral
GGGCAGUUCUGAAGGAUGGAGUGUACUCCAACAACCUCAAUUUCUGCCUCCCUAAGAAUUUGUACCCAGCAGUCGUACAAUGGGCACACGGACCUGCACAUUUAUCAAAGGAUCUAAUGAAUGCUCUUGUACAAAAUACUACCUCACUGUCCCCAUAUGAGAUUCUAUUUGGGACUGCACCUAGGCUAGGUUGCUAUUUUCCCCAGCAAUUACAACUUCAUACUGAUGUUUUAGUAAACUAUGUAACUGAACUCGCAAAUGCUUUGAACAAAAUCCAUGCCCAAGUUUUCUCUUCAAUUCCAGAUCCUGAUUCUGACACAGGCAACCACAGUCUGCUCCCCGGUGACUGGGUUCUGGUCAAGAAAUUUGUGCGAAAACAUACCCUGGAACCAAGAUUUGACGGACCGUUCCAAGUUCUCCUGAUCUCCCCUACCUCUGUCAAAUUGUCCGGAAGGCCUAACUGGAUCCACGCUUCCCAUUGCAAGAAGACACCUGCCCCAGAGGAAGCUAACUCUAUGCAACCAUGUGCCUCUGGUACAUUAUCUCCUUAGUUGGCCUCCUUAAAGCCCAGCAGGUGGCCAUCACCAAAGAUGCUAGUGGGUACACUUUCUG